Molecule: long non-coding RNA, 658 nt
Organism: Xenia sp. Carnegie-2017
Lineage: Eukaryota; Metazoa; Cnidaria; Anthozoa; Malacalcyonacea; Xeniidae
Exons: 2
Source: RefSeq, a predicted model, not a curated record
AAUGCAACAUCAGCAUGAGAAAUAUUAUUUCAUCCAGAAAAAGAGGAACAAUAUAUCUACUGCUUCAAGGGCAGGUGAAACGUAAUAAAAAUGCAUGCCACCCGUAUUUCUCGCACACAUUUGCUACCCAUCCAAGAACAGCAAAAAUGGCAAUGUUAUAACCUUAAAAGUACGAUGGUUUGUGGAGGUUUGCCUGGAACUUGUCGAUCAUUUUUUGGAAAUAGUGUCCUACAUAGCAUUUGGGAUUGUAUGAUUGGUUAAACCAUGAAGUUUUGGCGGUGAAUAAUCAUACUGCAUUUAACGCUCAUAUUUGAGGGGGUUUCGGCAAAAUGGGAGUUUGGAUUUAAGACAGCUUAUGGGCUAUUAAGUUCUCAGAUAAACGACAAGAUCAAUAUGUCACCCUCGUUUGAUAAAAAGCUUUCAGACCCACGCAACAUCCUCAAUCACAUGUAAUAGUGAUAUACCGACUUCAAUAUCAAAAUAUGUAACAUUUAUUUUAAAUAAAAAGAAAGAAACUUCAAUAAUUCAACAACAUACAGUAAUGUACUGUUGCCAAAGAAUGCUAUUGAUUGGAAAACUAAAAUCGGGUUGGAGGUCUGGCAUUCUGGCGAAAGAAACACACACGAUUCUUCUGAAGCCAAAUAUACUUUGAUUUAAA